Molecule: ribosomal RNA, 301 nt
Filed under: uncultured bacterium
Lineage: Bacteria
Description: partial 16S ribosomal RNA
Rfam family: Bacterial small subunit ribosomal RNA
Source: RNAcentral
CAGUCGCCGCGGUAAUACGUAGGUGGCAAGCGUUGUCCGGAAUUAUUGGGCGUAAAGGGCUCGCAGGCGGUUUCUUAAGUCUGAUGUGAAAGCCCCCGGCUCAACCGGGGAGGGUCAUUGGAAACUGGGAAACUUGAGUGCAGAAGAGGAGAGUGGAAUUCCACGUGUAGCGGUGAAAUGCGUAGAGACGUGGAGGAACACCAGUGGCGAAGGCGACUCUCUGGUCUGUAACUGACGCUGAGGAGCGAAAGCGUGGGGAGCGAACAGGAUUAGAUACCCGGGUAGUCCCUGUCUCUUAUAC